RNA transcript from Onychostruthus taczanowskii (white-rumped snowfinch), 3675 nucleotides. It is a transcript of the gene named MAF bZIP transcription factor A, with no coding region annotated. NCBI's taxonomy places the organism in Eukaryota, Metazoa, Chordata, Aves, Passeriformes, Passeridae. The transcript is spliced from 2 exons. The record is from RefSeq and is a predicted model, not a curated record.
GGACUGAGAUGGCCUCGGAGCUGGCCAUGAGCGCGGAGCUGCCCACGAGCCCCCUCGCCAUCGAGUACGUGAACGAUUUCGACCUGAUGAAGUUCGAGGUGAAGAAGGAGCCGGCGGAGGCGGAGCGGCUGUGCCACCGCCUGCCCGCCGGCUCCCUGUCGUCCACCCCGCUCAGCACGCCCUGCUCCUCCGUGCCUUCCUCGCCCAGCUUCUGCGCUCCCAGCCCCGGUGGGCAACCGGCCCCCGGCCCCCCGGCUGCCACCGCCGCUUCCCUGGGCUCCAAACAGCAGCUGGAGGAGCUGUACUGGAUGUCGGGUUACCAGCAUCACCUCAACCCCGAAGCUCUCAACCUGACGCCGGAGGACGCGGUGGAGGCGUUGAUCGGUGCCCCUCACCAUCAUCAUCAUCACCACCAAGGGUACGAGCCCUUCCGACCUCAGCCCUUCGGGGGCGAGGAGCUGCCGCCGGCCGCCCAUCACCAUCCCGGCCAUCACCAUCAUCAUCAUCACCACCUACGCCUGGAGGACCGGUUCUCCGACGAUCAGCUGGUGAGUAUGUCCGUGCGGGAGCUGAACCGGCAGCUGCGGGGCUUCAGCAAGGAGGAGGUGAUCCGCCUCAAGCAGAAGAGGAGGACCUUGAAGAACCGGGGCUACGCUCAAUCCUGCCGCUACAAGCGGGUCCAGCAACGGCACAUCCUGGAGAACGAGAAAUGCCAACUGCAGAGCCAGGUGGAGCAGCUCAAGCAGGAGGUGACCCGCUUGGCCAAGGAAAGGGAUCUGUACAAAGAAAAAUAUGAGAAGUUGGCCGGCCGGGGCUUCCCGAGGGAGCCCUCCCCAUCUGCCGCCCCGAAAGCCACCGCUGACUUCUUCAUGUGAGCCGGGCUGGUGGGAUGGGGUGGGAUCCCCUUUUUUUUUUUUUUUUUUUUUUUCCUCAGCCGGGGAGAGCAAACCCGCCGCUUAUAUUUAAAAAGAAAAAAAAAUGGGGAAAAAAUAUUAUGAAGUCCCCACUGAAAUUUAGUGGAGGGGAAGUUGAACUCCCUACCUCCCACCCAUCGGGACUCGGGGUGGGGGGUCCCGGGGUGGGGGAGUGGGGGGCAGCCCUGCAUGCGGGACGUGUACGGCCACCCGCCCCCCUUCCCGGGAGCGCCAUCCAGGUGGCUUCUCCCCACCUUUUCCUGCGGGUUUUCCCCUCCAUUGGGAUUUUUAUUCUUCGAGGGAUCCCCACGGAUCGGCCGGGGGGGUCCCCGGCAGCGCUGCGCCCUGCCCGGCCCCUCCGCCCACCCCCCAUUCCCGGCCGGCAAACCUGAGCCACAUUUAACUUAUUCACUCUUGUAAAUAUGUAGAAAAUUAGUUCGUUUUUUGCCUUUUUUUUUUUUUUCCUUGAGCCUAUAUCUUGCUUGGUAAUUUACGAGAAAAAGAAAACGAACAAAAAAAAGAAAAACCAACAAAAAAACCCUAAAAUCCUUUAGAAAAGAGAAAAAAAAUUACACGAGUCUUAAAAGUUUGUAUGUAAUAGCAUGCAAAUAAUAUCCGAGUUAAUUUAACGAUGUUGGGAAGAAGCCGAAUGCACUAUAUACAGGAAUCGAUUGGGUGAAAUAAUACUGUUUUAUAGAGAUUUAAAAUUAUCUAUGCUCUUAAAAAUAGUGGGGAGGGGCGGGAGGGGAAGAGGUAACAAUUUUAGGGUGACCUGAAAGGCAAUAUAGUAAUAUAUGGACUGCAAACGGUUGGCUGCUAUCUCACUAUGCACCAGAUUUAUUUAUUAACCCUCGGGAAACGGAAAAUCUUAUUUUAACCUCGAUGUUUGGAGAAAAAGAAAAAAAAAACAGACGUCAAGAAAAUGCACAUUAUUUGUUGUGGAAACAAGAGGAAAAAAAAGGAUUAAGAAUUCGUGCAAUCGUUGGAGCGAAAGCGGGACCGAUCCUGCGCGGAGGAGCGGGACGGCCGGGUUCUGGGUGGUUUUGAUUUUCUUUCCCGGCUGGAGGGUCCUGGAGACCUUCAUCCCUGCAGCUGCUGGAAAGUCACCGGGUCCAGUUUGGUUCCAGCUUGUCCGACACCGUCCUGAUGAGCCGCUGGCUUGAUUUUCAAUGGUAAUAAAUUAUUUUUCUUUCCUCUUUUGGCUUCUCCCUCUUGAAUUUUUAAUUUAAAAAGGACCCCUUAACAAACCAAGCCCACACCUUCCCUAAUCCAAGCUUUUGGGCUGGUAUUUUACUGAGAUUUUGUGGGUUUUUGGGACUGUUUUUAAGGAUAUUUCUCCCUUUGCCGCAAACCCCAAGCGCGGCUGCAUCUUUUCCCGGACUCAACGGGACAAAUUCCAGCACAACCCUUGGUACAACGUAUUUUUUUGGCAUUUUAUGUGCUUUUUAAAUAUUUAGGUGUAUUUUCUGUCCUAUAUUUUUGCCCAGGCUCAACCGUGGCAGGUCCCCAAGCUGUGGCGUAUUCCCUCCUGCCGCUUCCAUAAAUCUUCUCCAUGCUCAUGUAACCCCCUGGCUUUUCCUUGGAUUUGUGGGGUGCCUGCAACUCCACAACCCUCUGGUCUUGCCUUUUCUGCACCCCCAAACCUCAAUCCCCUUUUUCUUCAUCUUUUUCUGGCUUUUUGGUGUCUUCUUUUGUGACCAGAGGAUUUUUGAGCAGCCUGAGCUUGGCUCAAUAUCAGACUUGGAUUUUGGGAUGGGAGCUGGAAUGCAAAGAGGGAUAUUUGUCCCAGGGCUGGACAAAAGGGGGGUUUGGAAGGUGGGGGAUUCACCCCUUAUUCCUGUAUUUAUUUAGAUCCAGGGAAACUUUGAAAACCUGGCUCUAAAUAAAAUUAAUCCGUGCAGCCGCUCGCGGGACAUCGCGUCCCCGAAUUUUUUGGAGGUGAAUCACAGCUUCCUGGUGGGUUAUUCCCUAAUUUUCCUCCCAAUAUCCCUUUCUCUUGGCAUAUAUUUCUGGGGGAAGAACACAUCCAGCUGCCUGGUCAUGAUCAAAUAAGAAUUUGGGGAGGAAAAGGAAUUUGGGGCUGGUACCUUCCCCAAACCAGGCUGGGGGAUCUCAGUCCCCGCUGUCUUAAAUCCUCACUCCUGGAUCUUUCCGUGAUCCCCAUUCCCUGUGGGCACAUCCUGGGGGUCAUUGCCCCUUUUCCCAGCUGGGCUGGGGCUGGUUGGGAAAGCAGAGCUGACUUUGGGAUCUGUGUGGGGUUUUGUGGGAGCGCUGUCCCAUGGGGUGUUGCUCAGGACACAGCGUGUUGUCCGUGAGGUGACCGCGAUCGUCUCCUGCUCCGGAAUCCUUUCCCCGCUUCUAUGGCCGAGCAAAGGCAGCAAUUUCGGAUUCCCAAUUUUCCCCUUGCCCUCUCCUUUUGGUUUUAUUUUGGGGUCCAACGACCUGGGAAAGAUCCCAGAUUAUUUUGGCAGUCCAGGUAUCAUCCCUUCCUCUUUAUCCCGAAGGGAUCCCCAAUUCCGUGCGCCACCGUGAUUUAUUUUUUUAGGUCCCCACUGAUUUUUUUUUCCCCCAACCCUCCUUGAAAUCCCCUAACAGGUGGAACAGGACACAGGGUGUUGCUGCCACCCAUUAAUGUUGGUUCUCCAUGGGGGAUCCCACCCCACAGUUUUUUGGGGAGAUUUGAGGGUGGAAUCGCACCCUUCUGCCCCAUCAUCCUGACCUUCUCCAUGCUCCUGAAGCUCCCGGCUUUCUGGGAUUUGGC